Molecule: long non-coding RNA, 752 nt
Filed under: Homo sapiens (human)
Lineage: Eukaryota; Metazoa; Chordata; Mammalia; Primates; Hominidae
Description: HSALNT0036413
Source: RNAcentral
UCCAGGACCUGGAUUUAUUGCAUUUGAUAUUCACACCUUUUUACAGAGAGGAUCUACAGAUUUCAUCAGCUGUGAACAACAACAAAAAGAGUACGUAGGAAUUCCAAAAUCCUGUAAUAACAAUGAAAAUCACGGUAAGAGUAAUAUUUUGGAAGACUGUUCUCUGGUUCAAGGCCUUACACUAAGCGCCUUCCCGCCUGGCCGUGGGGAGGGACUUAGCAUGUCCCAGGCAGCUCAACUUUGCAGAAAAGGAGCAUCUCCCAUCCCUUCCACAGGCAGCAGCUUUCUCCAGUCCAUGCUUCAGAGACAGAGGCACCCUGCCGAAGUCCCUCCAUUCCUGAGGGUGCAGUGACCCCAUGUGGCCAAUUCCAAAUGUAGCCACUUGAUGGACAUUGGGCUGUGACUGCUAUUUCUUCUUCAUUUAAGCAAUUCUCCAAUUGCUGUCUUUUGCUGAAGUUUUGCUUUCAUUCCACUGAGGAGGAGAGGCAACAGAGGCGGCUUGGAAUGGGAAGGGCGGGGCUGAGCUUGCAGGGACAAUGUCCACCUAGCCUGCUGGCCACAAGGACCCUCCAGCUCUGAAGGUGCGCUGAGAGCGACCCCUUCGGGCCACAUUGGAGGGGCAGCAACAGGUGAUCUGGAUGGCUGGCCUGAAGCCUUCUAGGCCCCAACCAGGCUGCUGCAUCGCAGAGAAAGGAGAGAGAGAGACAGAUGAGACCAAGGAAACUCUGCACUGAGUCACCCCCAGACUCAGG